CACGUAGGGGACGAGCGUUGUCCGGAUUCAUUGGGCGUAAAGAGUGCGUAGGCGGUUUUUUAAGUUUGGUGUGAAAUCUCCCGGCUUAACUGGGAGGGUGCGCCGAAAACUGGAAGGCUUGAGUAUGGGAGAGGGAUGCGGAAUUCCAGGUGUAGCGGUGAAAUGCGUAGAUAUCUGGAGGAACACCGGUGGCGAAGGCGGCAUCCUGGACCAACACUGACACUGAUGAGCGAAAGCCAGGGGAGCAAACGGG
Molecule: ribosomal RNA, 253 nt
Filed under: uncultured bacterium
Lineage: Bacteria
Description: partial 16S ribosomal RNA
Rfam family: Bacterial small subunit ribosomal RNA
Source: RNAcentral